This 497-nucleotide ribosomal RNA is filed under the name uncultured Bacillota bacterium. Its description in RNAcentral is "bacterial SSU rRNA". It matches the Rfam family "Bacterial small subunit ribosomal RNA", at positions 355 to 845 of the family's 1533-position model. The record is from RNAcentral. Lineage: Bacteria; Bacillati; Bacillota.
UAGGGAAUCUUCCGCAAUGGACGAAAGUCUGACGGAGCAACGCCGCGUGAGCGAAGAAGGCCUUGGUCGUAAAGCUCUGUUGUUAGGGAAGAAUAAGUGCGAGAGUAACUGCUCGUACCUUGACGGUACCUAGCCAGAAAGCCACGGCUAACUACGUGCCAGCAGCCGCGGUAAUACGUAGGUGGCAAGCGUUGUCCGGAAUUAUUGGGCGUAAAGCGCGCGCAGGCGGUCCUUUAAGUCUGAUGUGAAAGCCCACGGCUCAACCGUGGAGGGUCAUUGGAAACUGGGGGACUUGAGUGCAGAAGAGAAGAGUGGAAUUCCACGUGUAGCGGUGAAAUGCGUAGAGAUGUGGAGGAACACCAGUGGCGAAGGCGACUCUUUGGUCUGUAACUGACGCUGAGGCGCGAAAGCGUGGGGAGCAAACAGGAUUAGAUACCCUGGUAGUCCACGCCGUAAACGAUGAGUGCUAAGUGUUAGAGGGUUACCGCCCUUUAGUG